RNAcentral lists this ribosomal RNA (775 nucleotides) under uncultured Neocallimastigales. RNAcentral describes it as "partial large subunit ribosomal RNA". It matches the Rfam family "Eukaryotic large subunit ribosomal RNA", at positions 26 to 611 of the family's 3401-position model. The record is from RNAcentral. Lineage: Eukaryota; Fungi; Neocallimastigomycota; Neocallimastigomycetes; Neocallimastigales.
CGCAUCUGUGCAUGCAGCAUAUCAAUAAGCGGAGGAAAAGAAACUAACAAGGAUUCCCCUAGUAACGGCGAGUGAAGCGGGAAGAGCUCAAAUUUGAAAUCUUAAAGGGUUUCCCUUUACGAAUUGUAGUUUAAAGAAGUGUUUUCUGUUGAGGUUUUGGUAAAAGUUCUUUGGAAUAGGACAUCAUAGAGGGUGAGAAUCCCGUAUUUGACCUUUACUUUCAACCUUGUGAUACACUUUCAAAGAGUCGGAUUGUUUGGGAAUGCAGUCCAAAAUGGGUGGUAAAUUUCAUCUAAAGCUAAAUAUUGGCGAGAGACCGAUAGCGAACAGGUACCGUGAGGGAAAGAUGAAAAGAACUUUGAAAAGAGAGUUAAACAGUACGUGAAAUUGUCAAAAGGGAAGCGUUUGACACCAGUGUUGUUUUUCUGAAAAUCAAUUAAAGAACUGUUUAUGCUAAGUUGUUUAGACUUUAUCAGCUAACUGUUUAGUUUUGAGCUUUUCUUUAAUGCACUUUUCAGUUAACAAGUCAACAUCAAUUUCUUUUGCUGUAAAAAGGCUUGAGGAAGGUGGCUUGAGAUUCGUCUUAAGUGUUUAUAGCCUCUUGCCUAUGCAGUCGGAGAGAUUGAGGUCUGCAGCGUAGAUCCUUCGGGGCUAAAUGCAUUUGUGCUAAGUUAUAGCAUUUUAUAGACAACUUGUUGACUAUGGAUUUGUCUUGUAGCUUACUCGCUUAUGUUAUUUUACCUACGCUUAGGAUGUUGAACGCGCACAGAGUCUC